ACCUUAUGGCCAUUAACGACACUGGGAUUCGUGACUAAUCCUCCAUCCUGCUGGCCAUGAGAUUCUGUUUUCGGUGUGUCUCAUUUUAGCCACAAGGAGUCCACUUUGUUUGUUGGGGGUAUAUUUUAACACUCUUUUGCCUCCCUCUUCCACAUUUAAGGAUCUGUUAGGAAUGCAAAAUGCUUGUUCCCUGGUGCCAUAAAGAAAUAGCACUUGAACAUAAAUUUAAUUCUCUCAACAAGGCAAUUUUUACUUUCUAUUUUAAGGUCAAGGGAUUGGCAACCUUAAUUCCCCUUUGCUAUGUACUGUAACAUAUUUUCAGGUUUUGAGGAUUAGGACUUGGGCGUCUUUGGGGGGCCAUUAUUCUGCCUACCAGGGUCACUCAGCUUUGCCCUGUGGUAGGAGAUGGUGGUAAUAACCAUGAUGGUAGUGGUGGUGAGGCUCAUAGUCCUGAUGAGUCUUGCUUGAAGCUAUAGGUUAGUACCUUCCUGAUUUUUACGUAGUGGGUGUCCUACAUUUUCCAACCUUCCAGAAUUACCCUUUACUUAAAUAAUCAAAGAAAAGAACAUGCUCUGCAGCCAGAGGAAUUCUAACCCCUUUCCAAAUUGCCAAGAAUUCCUGGAAGUACAUCCACCCUCACAGUCACUGGUCUCCUGCCACUCUGCUGCUUCCAGCUUCUCCUGGAUCUCUCUGGCUCCUCCAUCACAGGCUCUGCAUACCUUCCACUUCCUCUGAGGUUUUUCCUCCCAAACAGGGACCUUCCCGUCAUUCUGGAGACAGGGCUACCUGGAGAGAUCAAGGUUAGAAGGUUUUAUUAACUCCACCGAAGGCCUGAAGAUCCUUGUAAGGACUUUAAAGUACGGGAGGGGAGAACUUCAUUUAGUACUUAGUACAGAGAAGUUCCUGAGUCCUUUGGUUACACCAGUGUCAAGGGAGGCCUUUACUUAAAGUCUCCCUCCUUGAGCCAAGCUUAAAUUCUCUUCCCUGAAGCCCCAGGCCUCAAAUUGCUCCUUCUAGGACCACCAAAGGAAACAGAAACCCUUAAAUAUUGACUUUAUUAUGCAGAGCAUUAUAGCUCCUUUGGUCUGCAAGAGCUUACUUCAGCCUGAUCUCAGGGCCUUACCUUUGCAUAACCACAGGGCCCAUUAAGACGUUUUUCCCAAACAAAAGAUACAUUCUUUCCCAAGAUGAAUUCUUCUCCCACUCUUGGAAUGCACAAAUGCUGCAGUUGAAAAGUACAGCAAAGCAAAAACAGCUCCAUUUAUUUUUACUUCCAUUAUUUACCACAGAAACAAGUAGUGUUAGUAUGUGUGCUGUGGUGGAAAAGACUUAGAUUUUAUAUCACAACACGCAUAUCAAUUGUAUUAGUCCAUUUUCACGCUGCUGAUAGAGACAUACCUGAGACUGG
This 1408-nucleotide long non-coding RNA is filed under the name Homo sapiens (human). RNAcentral describes it as "HSALNT0302833". Lineage: Eukaryota; Metazoa; Chordata; Mammalia; Primates; Hominidae. The record is from RNAcentral.